UAAACGUGUUAUAUAAGCUUGCAGCAAAACUUUGAACUAUGAUAAGAGUUGCCGUAAACGUCAAUUUUCAGCUAUCUUGACAGACAAAUGCAUACCCUUUCCGUUCCUCGCGCUAUUUAUAGAAAGGUAAACAGACGACGAAAAUUCACACGCAAAUGCAGGCACAAUCCAGGAAUCUAAUUUUGUCACAUGUUGAAAUGAUCGAGAUAUAUAGAGUAAUCAGAACUUUCAAUAUAUGAAUGACCUAUGCAGUGAGAUAACAAAGGUGAAGACGUAAAUCAAAAGAUUCAUAAUUCUACAAGGUGGUGCUGCUGAGCAAUAAGAUGGACCUAGCAGGCUAGCUAUUUGAUGGUGGAACUUUUUUAUUGAGACUAAAUGUAGAACAUUGAAAAAAAUUAUUUUGUCAUUUCUUUGUACAUGUUGUAUAAAGCCAACAAAAAACCAAAAUAAAAGCAUUUAAGUCUGA
Mytilus californianus (California mussel) is the source of this 466-nucleotide long non-coding RNA. RefSeq lists it as uncharacterized. The transcript is spliced from 4 exons. The record is from RefSeq and is a predicted model, not a curated record. NCBI's taxonomy places the organism in Eukaryota, Metazoa, Mollusca, Bivalvia, Mytilida, Mytilidae.